RNAcentral lists this ribosomal RNA (355 nucleotides) under uncultured bacterium. RNAcentral describes it as "partial 16S ribosomal RNA". It matches the Rfam family "Bacterial small subunit ribosomal RNA", at positions 338 to 690 of the family's 1533-position model. The record is from RNAcentral.
CCUACGGGAGGCUGCAGUGAGGAAUAUUGGUCAAUGGGCGCGAGCCUGAACCAGCCCAGUCGCGUGAGGGAUGAAGGUUCUAUGGAUCGUAAACCUCUUUUAUAAGGGAAUAAAGUGUGGGACGUGUCCUAUUUUGUAUGUACCUUAUGAAUAAGGAUCGGCUAAAUCCGGGCCAGCAGCCGCGGUAAUACGGAGGAUCCGAGCGUUAUACGGAUUUAUUGGGUUUAAAGGGUGCGUAGGCGGCCUUUUAAGUCAGCGGUGAAAGUCUGUGGCUCAACCAUAGAAUUGCCGUUGAAAAUGGGGUGCUUGAGUAUGUUGGAGGCAUGCGGAAUGCGUGGUGGAGCGGUGAAAUGCU